CAGAGUAAUCGGAUAAUUGCGCAGAAAUGUGAGGAAAGUCCGUGCAUUCAAGGACAGACUGCCAGAGAAACUCUGGACGGCGUGAGUCGGUGGAAAGUGCCACAGAAAUUAUACUGCCAAUGGAUUUAUAUCACAGGCGAUGGUGCAACGGUGAGUUAAGAGCUUCACCAGCAAUAACGAGAGUUAUUGGCUAGGUAAACCCCAGUCGAAUGCAAGAUUAACUUGAAGGUUAUAAAGGCUGUCCGCCAACUUCAGACAAAUCGCUAGAGUUUGUGAGCAAUCACAUUCCCAGACAGAUGAUUAUCUAAAACAGAACACGGCUUAUGGGUUACUCUGUAUU
This 340-nucleotide RNase P RNA is filed under the name Candidatus Melainabacteria bacterium. Its description in RNAcentral is "RNase P RNA component class A". It matches the Rfam family "Bacterial RNase P class A". Rfam says of the family: Ribonuclease P (RNase P) is a ubiquitous endoribonuclease, found in archaea, bacteria and eukarya as well as chloroplasts and mitochondria. Its best characterised activity is the generation of mature 5'-ends of tRNAs by cleaving the 5'-leader elements of precursor-tRNAs. Lineage: Bacteria; Bacillati; Candidatus Melainabacteria. The record is from RNAcentral.